GUGCCAGCCGCCGCGGUAAAACGUAGGAGGCGAGCGUUAUCCGGAGUUACUGGGCGUAAAGCGCGUGCAGGCGGUCGGACAAGUGGCGGGUGAAAGCGCCCGGCUCAACCGGGCGAGUGCCGGUCAGACUGUUCGACUGGAGUACCGGUGAGGGACGUGGAAUUCCGGGUGUAGCGGUGAAAUGUGCAGAGAUCCGGAGGAACACCAGCGGCGCAAGCGGCGUCCUGGACGGAAACUGACGCUGAGACGCGACAGCGUGGGGAGCGAACGGGAUUAGAAACCCCCGUAGUCC
Molecule: ribosomal RNA, 292 nt
Filed under: uncultured bacterium
Lineage: Bacteria
Description: partial 16S ribosomal RNA
Rfam family: Bacterial small subunit ribosomal RNA
Source: RNAcentral